RNAcentral lists this ribosomal RNA (492 nucleotides) under uncultured bacterium. RNAcentral's name for it is "partial 16S ribosomal RNA". It matches the Rfam family "Bacterial small subunit ribosomal RNA", at positions 28 to 523 of the family's 1533-position model. The record is from RNAcentral.
GACGAACGCUGGCGGCGUGCCUAAUACAUGCAAGUCGAACGCUUUUUCUUUCACCGGAGCUUGCUCCAUCGAAAGAAAAAGAGCGGCGGACGGGUGAGUAACGCGUGAGUAACCUGCCCUAUACAGGGGGAUAGCCAUUGGAAACGGUGAUUAAUACCCCAUAAGACCACGCCAUCGCAUGAUGAAGUGGUAAAAACUGAGGUGGUAUAGGAUGGACUCGCGUCUGAUUAGCUAGUUGGUGAGGUAACGGCUCACCAAGGCGACGAUCAGUAACCGGCCUGAGAGGGUGAACGGUCACACUGGAACUGAGACACGAUCCAGACUCCUACGGGAGGCAGCAGUGGGGAAUAUUGCACAAUGGGGGAAACCCUGAUGCAGCGAUGCCGCGUGAACGAAGAAGGCUUUCGAGUCGUAAAGUUCUGUUCUUAGGGAAGAAAAUGACGGUACCUAAGGAGAAAGCACCGGCUAAAUACGUGCCAGCAGCCGCCGUAA